GCUGGGCGUGGUGGCUCAUGCCUGUAAUCCCAGCACUUUGGUAGGCUGAGGUGGGUGGAUCACCUGAGGUCAGGAGUUCGAGACCAGCCUGGCCAACAUGGUGAAAACCCAUCUCUA
RNAcentral lists this non-coding RNA (117 nucleotides) under Pan paniscus (pygmy chimpanzee). RNAcentral also lists the same sequence under 1 other name. The record is from Rfam by way of RNAcentral. Lineage: Eukaryota; Metazoa; Chordata; Mammalia; Primates; Hominidae.